GGGUUGUGAGGUUAAGCGACUAAGCGUACACGGUGGAUGCCCUGGCAGGUCAGAGGCGAUGAAGGACGUGCUAAUCUGCGAUAAGCGUCGGUAAGGUGAUAUGAACCGUUAUAACCGGCGAUUUCCGAAUGGGGAAACCCAGUGUGUUUCGACACACUAUCAUUAACUGAAUCCAUAGGUUAAUGAGGCGAACCGGGGGAACUGAAACAUCUAAGUACCCCGAGGAAAAGAAAUCAACCGAGAUUCCCCCAGUAGCGGCGAGCGAACGGGGAGGAGCCCAGAGCCUGAAUCAGUGUGUGUGUUAGUGGAAGCGUCUGGAAAGGCGCGCGAUACAGGGUGACAGCCCCGUACACAAAAAUGCACAUGCUGUGAGCUCGAUGAGUAGGGCGGGACACGUGGUAUCCUGUCUGAAUAUGGGGGGACCAUCCUCCAAGGCUAAAUACUCCUGACUGACCGAUAGUGAACCAGUACCGUGAGGGAAAGGCGAAAAGAACCCCGGCGAGGGGAGUGAAAAAGAACCUGAAACCGUGUACGUACAAGCAGUGGGAGCACGCUUAGGCGUGUGACUGCGUACCUUUUGUAUAAUGGGUCAGCGACUUAUAUUCUGUAGCAAGGUUAACCGAAUAGGGGAGCCGAAGGGAAACCGAGUCUUAACUGGGCGUUAAGUUGCAGGGUAUAGACCCGAAACCCGGUGAUCUAGCCAUGGGCAGGUUGAAGGUUGGGUAACACUAACUGGAGGACCGAACCGACUAAUGUUGAAAAAUUAGCGGAUGACUUGUGGCUGGGGGUGAAAGGCCAAUCAAACCGGGAGAUAGCUGGUUCUCCCCGAAAGCUAUUUAGGUAGCGCCUCGUGAAUUCAUCUCCGGGGGUAGAGCACUGUUUCGGCAAGGGGGUCAUCCCGACUUACCAACCCGAUGCAAACUGCGAAUACCGGAGAAUGUUAUCACGGGAGACACACGGCGGGUGCUAACGUCCGUCGUGAAGAGGGAAACAACCCAGACCGCCAGCUAAGGUCCCAAAGUCAUGGUUAAGUGGGAAACGAUGUGGGAAGGCCCAGACAGCCAGGAUGUUGGCUUAGAAGCAGCCAUCAUUUAAAGAAAGCGUAAUAGCUCACUGGUCGAGUCGGCCUGCGCGGAAGAUGUAACGGGGCUAAACCAUGCACCGAAGCUGCGGCAGCGACGCUUAUGCGUUGUUGGGUAGGGGAGCGUUCUGUAAGCCUGUGAAGGUGUGCUGUGAGGCAUGCUGGAGGUAUCAGAAGUGCGAAUGCUGACAUAAGUAACGAUAAAGCGGGUGAAAAGCCCGCUCGCCGGAAGACCAAGGGUUCCUGUCCAACGUUAAUCGGGGCAGGGUGAGUCGACCCCUAAGGCGAGGCCGAAAGGCGUAGUCGAUGGGAAACAGGUUAAUAUUCCUGUACUUGGUGUUACUGCGAAGGGGGGACGGAGAAGGCUAUGUUGGCCGGGCGACGGUUGUCCCGGUUUAAGCGUGUAGGCUGGUUUUCCAGGCAAAUCCGGAAAAUCAAGGCUGAGGCGUGAUGACGAGGCACUACGGUGCUGAAGCAACAAAUGCCCUGCUUCCAGGAAAAGCCUCUAAGCAUCAGGUAACAUCAAAUCGUACCCCAAACCGACACAGGUGGUCAGGUAGAGAAUACCAAGGCGCUUGAGAGAACUCGGGUGAAGGAACUAGGCAAAAUGGUGCCGUAACUUCGGGAGAAGGCACGCUGAUAUGUAGGUGAAGUCCCUCGCGGAUGGAGCUGAAAUCAGUCGAAGAUACCAGCUGGCUGCAACUGUUUAUUAAAAACACAGCACUGUGCAAACACGAAAGUGGACGUAUACGGUGUGACGCCUGCCCGGUGCCGGAAGGUUAAUUGAUGGGGUCAGCGCAAGCGAAGCUCUUGAUCGAAGCCCCGGUAAACGGCGGCCGUAACUAUAACGGUCCUAAGGUAGCGAAAUUCCUUGUCGGGUAAGUUCCGACCUGCACGAAUGGCGUAAUGAUGGCCAGGCUGUCUCCACCCGAGACUCAGUGAAAUUGAACUCGCUGUGAAGAUGCAGUGUACCCGCGGCAAGACGGAAAGACCCCGUGAACCUUUACUAUAGCUUGACACUGAACAUUGAGCCUUGAUGUGUAGGAUAGGUGGGAGGCUUAGAAGUGUGGACGCCAGUCUGCAUGGAGCCGACCUUGAAAUACCACCCUUUAAUGUUUGAUGUUCUAACGUUGACCCGUAAUCCGGGUUGCGGACAGUGUCUGGUGGGUAGUUUGACUGGGGCGGUCUCCUCCUAAAGAGUAACGGAGGAGCACGAAGGUUGGCUAAUCCUGGUCGGACAUCAGGAGGUUAGUGCAAUGGCAUAAGCCAGCUUGACUGCGAGCGUGACGGCGCGAGCAGGUGCGAAAGCAGGUCAUAGUGAUCCGGUGGUUCUGAAUGGAAGGGCCAUCGCUCAACGGAUAAAAGGUACUCCGGGGAUAACAGGCUGAUACCGCCCAAGAGUUCAUAUCGACGGCGGUGUUUGGCACCUCGAUGUCGGCUCAUCACAUCCUGGGGCUGAAGUAGGUCCCAAGGGUAUGGCUGUUCGCCAUUUAAAGUGGUACGCGAGCUGGGUUUAGAACGUCGUGAGACAGUUCGGUCCCUAUCUGCCGUGGGCGCUGGAGAACUGAGGGGGGCUGCUCCUAGUACGAGAGGACCGGAGUGGACGCAUCACUGGUGUUCGGGUUGUCAUGCCAAUGGCACUGCCCGGUAGCUAAAUGCGGAAGAGAUAAGUGCUGAAAGCAUCUAAGCACGAAACUUGCCCCGAGAUGAGUUCUCCCUGACCCUUUAAGGGUCCUGAAGGAACGUUGAAGACGACGACGUUGAUAGGCCGGGUGUGUAAGCGCAGCGAUGCGUUGAGCUAACCGGUACUAAUGAACCGUGAGGCUUAACCUUACAACGCCGAAGGUGUUU
RNAcentral lists this ribosomal RNA (2932 nucleotides) under Escherichia coli. RNAcentral describes it as "23S ribosomal RNA". It matches the Rfam family "Bacterial large subunit ribosomal RNA". Lineage: Bacteria; Pseudomonadati; Pseudomonadota; Gammaproteobacteria; Enterobacterales; Enterobacteriaceae. The record is from RNAcentral.